CAGUCGCCACGGUAAUACGAAGGGGGCUAGCGUUGCUCGGAAUUACUGGGCGUAAAGGCGCGUAGGCGGACAGUUCAGUCGGGGGUGAAAGCCCGGGGCUCAACCUCGGAAUUGCCUUCGAUACUGGCUGUCUUGAGUAUGAGAGAGGUGUGUGGAACUCCGAGUGUAGAGGUGAAAUUCGUAGAUAUUCGGAAGAACACCAGUGGCGAAGGCGACACACUGGCUCAUUACUGACGCUGAGGCGCGAAAGCGUGGGGAGCAAACAGGAUUAGAUACCCCCGUAGUCCCUGUCUCUUAUACA
RNAcentral lists this ribosomal RNA (301 nucleotides) under uncultured bacterium. Its description in RNAcentral is "partial 16S ribosomal RNA". It matches the Rfam family "Bacterial small subunit ribosomal RNA", at positions 509 to 808 of the family's 1533-position model. The record is from RNAcentral.